RNAcentral lists this ribosomal RNA (253 nucleotides) under uncultured bacterium. RNAcentral describes it as "partial 16S ribosomal RNA". It matches the Rfam family "Bacterial small subunit ribosomal RNA", at positions 524 to 776 of the family's 1533-position model. The record is from RNAcentral.
UACGUAGGGCGCAAGCGUUGUCCGGAAUUAUUGGGCGUAAAGAGCUCGUAGGCGGUCUGUCGCGUCGGCUGUGAAAACCCGGGGCUCAACCCCGGGCCUGCAGUCGAUACGGGCAGACUAGAGUGUGGUAGGGGAGACUGGAAUUCCUGGUGUAGCGGUGGAAUGCGCAGAUAUCAGGAGGAACACCAGUGGCGAAGGCGGUGCUCUGGGCCGGAACUGACGCUGAGGAGCGAAAGCGUGGGUAGCAAACAGG